GGUGGGUGGGAGGAAGCAUAAUUUUCUUUUACGCACGGCGUCACUCCCAAUGGGUGGCUGGGUGGAGAUAAGACAAGAACGUAUAGGUUUCGCACGAAUGGCGGCACUAUGGUGGAACUCCAGUGGCACUAUGGCAACAGUAGGUGGCUGGGUGGAGGGAAGACAACACCGUUUAGGUAUGGGGCACUUCGACGACAAUGGUGGCUGGGUGGAAGGAAGAUGACUUUCUCUCUCUAGUUUUCGUUUUCGUGCUCGAGCUUUUCUCUCUCAAAUACUUCUCAGAUAGGAAAUCUGAAAGUGACAAAAUGAAUUUGAAAUUCAAAAUCUACCCCCCU
RNAcentral lists this long non-coding RNA (335 nucleotides) under Vigna radiata. Its description in RNAcentral is "long non-coding RNA (VRAD_LNC008355)". Lineage: Eukaryota; Viridiplantae; Streptophyta; Magnoliopsida; Fabales; Fabaceae. The record is from RNAcentral.